This is a long non-coding RNA of Asparagus officinalis (garden asparagus), 1004 nucleotides long. RefSeq lists it as uncharacterized. The transcript has 2 exons. The record is from RefSeq and is a predicted model, not a curated record. Lineage: Eukaryota; Viridiplantae; Streptophyta; Magnoliopsida; Asparagales; Asparagaceae.
AGAAAAACUAAAUAUAGGAUCCAAAAAAUGCCCAUUUGCCCCCCCGUCAAUCUCUUCCUCUUUCUCUCUGGCGGCUUCCCUCCUCCUCCGCCUCCUCCUCCGCCUCCGACGCCGCCUCCGACGCGGCAUCACCCUCUCCCUCAUCAUCUCCCUCUGCGAUCGCGGAGUCAAUCUCUUCCUCUCUCUCUCGCGGCUGAGUUCUCAUUGAUCCCUCCUCCUCCGCCUCCUCCUCUGCCUCCGACGCCGCCUCCGACGCCGCCUCCGACCCGGCAUCACCCUCUCCCUCAUCAUCUCCCUCUGCGAUCGCGGAGUCAAUCCCGAAGCCCUAGCCGCCCUCGUCCGCGAUCUCUCUUGUUGCAUUUGGAGCUGAAGUUGCUGUUGUUGCUGAUGCAAUUCUUGUUGCUGCUGCAGCUGUUGAAGAUGAUGUUGCUCCUCUAACUGAAGUUUCAAAAAUUGCUCCAACUCUGGCAUAUACUGGUUAACUGACUGUUGAUGCUGCAGAGAACCUUGAAUUUGUUCAAUAAAUGGCACAGACGAAUUCUGACGAGAAAGCAAGCGCUGCUGCUGAAGCUGUUGUUGCUGUUGUUGCUGUUGUUGUUGCUGCUGCUGAAGUUGCUGAAGCUGCUGCUGCCGAAGCAGUUGUUGUUGCUGCUGCUGCUGCUGAAGCUGUGAUUUUGGUUGAUUUUGGUUGAUUCUGUAAUAUGUUUAUACUGUUUCCUUGCGUUGUGAUUAUUGUCAGUCGCAGCAUUGUCAAUUUGGGGGCUAAGAUUUACUUUCUCGUAAAAUCCCUCCCUUUUGAUCUUUGUUUCCUGGUCUUUUCUUUCUUCUGUCAUGAUCAUGUUCAUGCCUGAACAUUUGAAAGAUGAGAAAUAAGUAGACUAUGGUUGUGCUACUAUUUUGUUUAUAGACGAACUUACUACUCUUCUAGUUUAUCAAGUAAUUAAGUAGAUUGUCCUUACUAAUCGUGAUCGUGUUGCUGAUAGUUAUGAUGGCGUUUAUAUCAA